Molecule: non-coding RNA, 231 nt
Filed under: Firmicutes bacterium CAG:137
Lineage: Bacteria; Bacillati; Bacillota
Also listed under: 1 other name
Source: RNAcentral
AAAGUAAAUAUGCUGCAUCGUGUCACCCAUUAAGACUGCCAAAGACGGCAGGUGCGGUGAUUAGGAAAUCCGGUUAGAGUCCGGAGCUUUGCCUGUUGCUGUAAAUGCAGGAGCUUGUAUUCAUGGAGCAAUCCGGUCACUGGGGAAACCUGGGAAGGCGGAAUCCAAGCGCAGAAGCCCUUUGCUUCCCAAUGCAUGAGCCAGAAUACCGACGAUGCUCGAGCUUGAAGG